CCUGCGGCCUAUUUUUGGCACACGGAGGCGCCUCACAAAGUCUCGCGCCAUUCCGAGUCCGGCGGACGAAGUUGGCCAGCACCACCCCCCAAGGCUAUAGCCCGCCCGUUUUUGUGGGCUUUUUCCGCUGGACGAACUUGGCGCCCCGGCCUGCGGGCGGUUGUUUUUGGGCACGGCUGUUCCCGCGGCCUAUUUUUGGCACACAGAGGUGCCUCGCAAAGUCUCGCUCCAUUCCGAGUCCGGCGGUCGAAGUUGGCCAGCCCCACCCCCCAAGGCUAUAGCCAACCCGUUUUUGUGGCCUUUUUCCGCUGGACAAACUUGGCGCCCCGGCUUUCGGGCGGUUAUUUUUGGGCGCGACUGUGCCCGCAGCCUAUUUUUGGCACACGGAGGCACCUCACAAAGUCUCGCGCCAUUCCGAGUCCGGCGGACGAAGUUGGCUAGCACCACCCCCAAAGGCUAUAGCCCGCCCGUUUUUGUGGCCUUUUUCCGCUGGACGAACUUGGCGCCCCGGCUUUCGGGCAGUUAUUUUUGGGCGCGACGGUGUCUGCGGCCUAAUUUUGGCACACGGAGGCACCUCACAAAGUCUCGCGCCAUUCCGAGUCCGGCGGACGAAGUUGGCCAGCCCCACCCCCCAAGGCUAUAGCCCACCCGUUUUUGUGGCCUUUUUCCGCUGGACGAACUUGGCGCCCCGGCCUUCGGGCGGUUAUUUUUGGGCAAGGCUUUGCCCGCGGCCUAUUUUUGGCACACGGAGGCCCCUCGCAAAGUCUCGCGGCAUUCCGAGUCCGGCGGACGAAGUUGGCCAGCCCCACCCCCCAAGGCUAUAGCCCACCCGUUUUUGUGGCCUUUUUCCGCUGAACGAACUUGGCGCCCCGGCCUUCGGGCGGUUAUUUUUGGACGUGGCUUGGUCCGCGGCCUAUUUUUGGCACACGGAUGCCACUCGUAAAGUCUCGCGGCAUUCCGAGUCCGGCGGACGAAGUAGGCCAGCCCCACCCCCCAAGGCUAUAGCCCACCCAUUUUUGUGGCCUUUUUCUGCUGGACGAACUUGGCGCCCCGGCCUUCGGGCGGUUAUUUUUGGGCGCGGCAUUGCCUGCGGCCUAUUUUUGGCACGCGGAGGCCCCUCGCAAAGUCUCGCGGCAUUCCGAGUCCGGCAGACGAAGUUGGCCAGCCCCACCCCCCAAGGCUAUAGCCCACCCGUUUUUGUGGCCUUUUUCCGCUGGACGAACUUGGCGCCCCGGCCUUCUGGCGGUUAUUUUUGGGCGCGGCUUUGCCCGUGGCCUAUUUUUGGCACACGGAGGCCCCUCGCAACGUCUCGCGGCAUUUCGAGUCCUGCGGACGAAGUUGACCAGCCCCACCCCCCAAGGCUAUAGCCCACCCGUUUUUGUGGCCUUUUUCCGCUGGACGAACUUGGCGCCCCGGCCUUCUGGCGGUUAUUUUUGGGCGCGGCUUUGCCCGUGGCUUAUUUUUGGCACACGGAGGCCCCUCGCAAUGUCUCGCGGCAUUUCGAGUCCGGCGGAAGAAGUUGGCCAGCCCCACCCCCCAAGCCUAUAGCCCACCCUUUUUUGUGGCCUUUUACCGCUGGACGAACUUGGCGCCCCGGCCUUCGGGCAGUUAUUUUUGGGUGCGGCUUUGCCCGCGGCCGAUUUUUGGCACACGGAGGCCCCUCGUAAACUCUCGCGGCAUUCCGAGCCCGGCGGAUGAAGUGGGCCAGCCUCACCCCCCAAGGCUAUAGCCCACCCGUUUUUGUGGCCUUUUUCCGCUGGACGAACUUGGCGCCCCGGCCUUCGGGCGGUUAUUUUUGGGCGCGGCUUUGUCCGCGGCCUUUUUUUGGCACACGGAGGCCCCUCGCAAAGUCUCGCGGAAUUCCGAGUUCGGCGGACGAAGUUGACCAGCCCCACCCCCCAAGGCUAUAGCCCACCCGUUUUUGUGGCCUUUUUCCGCUGGACGAACUUGGCGCCCCGGCCUUCGGGGGCUUAUUUUUGGGGGCAGCUUUGUUCGCGGCCUAUUUUUGGCACACGGAGGCCGCUCGCAAAGUCUCGCGGUAUUCCGAGUCCGGCGGACG
RNAcentral lists this long non-coding RNA (2059 nucleotides) under Citrus x clementina. RNAcentral describes it as "Citrus clementina (C. clementina) long non-coding RNA (CCLE_LNC006329)". Lineage: Eukaryota; Viridiplantae; Streptophyta; Magnoliopsida; Sapindales; Rutaceae. The record is from RNAcentral.